This 314-nucleotide ribosomal RNA is filed under the name uncultured bacterium. RNAcentral's name for it is "bacterial SSU rRNA". It matches the Rfam family "Bacterial small subunit ribosomal RNA", at positions 28 to 334 of the family's 1533-position model. The record is from RNAcentral.
GAUGAACGCUGACAGAAUGCUUAACACAUGCAAGUCGAGGGGCAUCGGGAAGAAAGCUUGCUUUCUUUGCCGGCGACCGGCGCACGGGUGAGUAACACGUAUCCAACCUGCCCUUUACUCGGGGAUAGCCUUUCGAAAGAAAGAUUAAUACCCGAUGGCAUAAUGAUUCCGCAUGGUUUCAUUAUUAAAGGAUUCCGGUAAAGGAUGGGGAUGCGUUCCAUUAGGUUGUUGGUGAGGUAACGGCUCACCAAGCCUUCGAUGGAUAGGGGUUCUGAGAGGAAGGUCCCCCACAUUGGAACUGAGACACGGUCCAA